RNAcentral lists this long non-coding RNA (834 nucleotides) under Equus caballus (horse). Its description in RNAcentral is "lncRNA (ENSECAG00000056949.1)". The record is from RNAcentral. Lineage: Eukaryota; Metazoa; Chordata; Mammalia; Perissodactyla; Equidae.
CUGCGUAAUUCCGAUUUCUUGUUUACGGGUUUCCUCUCCCCACCAGAGAGAAGUCCACAUGGAAGGGGUGCGUGCCCCUCCUGUGCACUGAGGUGCCCCAGCCCCAGGACGGGCCAUGUGCCCGUUAGCUGAAGGGGGGUGGGAAGGGGAAAACAGGAAGCCACAAGAAGGUUGGCCUUGGCAAGGAUGGUCACAUUGUUUUUCCCUGAGACAGAAGGAAAGGCUGCAGCUGAGAGAAAUGGGUGACAGUCAGUAUUAAAGAAGGGAGGCAAAGUCCACAGCAGGGCUGGGGGCAGCGAGAGAUGCGGAGCCUUGCGAACAGAAAACGUUAGGCUCCGUGAUGGUUUGUGAAUGGGCUUCAGGGAUCCCUAUGUGCUGCUGUUGCGAUGGGGUGAAUUUGUGGUUUCUCAGAGGACUCGUCUUAGAGAAUUCAUUUGCUCUAAGGGGAAGGCGUCUCACCCUUGCUUCUUCUGCUCUCAGUACAUUCUGGGGACCCUCUGGCCCCCAUGCCUUCUGCCCGUGCCCAGAGCCUUCUAUAAAUUGUCAGAAAGUCACUGCAUUCAGCGGCUCCUUAUUAUGCAGCAGUAUAAAGUGUCUGCUCUGUGGAUGUGCCGUUGUUAUUUUGUUCCUUGCAACAGAUGGGCUAGAGUUUCCCGCUUCUCACCUGACAUGGCUUAGCGGUAAACUGGUACAGUAAAUCCUCUCGUUUCAGGUGACUGGGUGGUGGGGCUGCCACUAUGAAUUAAUCAAGCUAUCUUCAAGAAGCCCAGUGGUGAACCCAAAGUAAGCUGUGACAAGGUGUUUCUAAGAGGAACCUGGCUGGGUGUUUAUUCA